This 324-nucleotide long non-coding RNA is filed under the name Vigna radiata. RNAcentral's name for it is "long non-coding RNA (VRAD_LNC013565)". Lineage: Eukaryota; Viridiplantae; Streptophyta; Magnoliopsida; Fabales; Fabaceae. The record is from RNAcentral.
AGAGCCUGCUUUGAUGUGCCGUACUUCCUCGGUCGCUCCCGUUUGCUCUUAGUGGGCUCCAGCUACGACGACAUCACCGAGCACAUAGGUUGUGGAUGCGGCGGUCUGCCUUGGUGGAGGAGACGAGAAAACUGAGCUGUAUGGCGAAGAAGUGUUCUUGGAACGAGAGUGGAAGUGAGAGUGAGAGUGAGAGUGAGAGUGAUAGGGAACACGAAAGAGAGGGGGAAAUCUGAAAAUGGAAAAAUUAGAGCAGAUAUAUUAUGUCUGGUAUCCAUUUUAGUAAUAAUAGGUUUUCAACUUAUUUACAAGUUUGCCACCGCAUUU